GACGAACCGUGCGAACGUUGUUCGGAAUCACUGGGCUUAAAGGGCGCGUAGGCGGCUUGCCAAGUCAGGGGUGAAAUCCAGCAGCUUAACUGUUGAAGUGCCUUUGAUACUGGCGAGCUCGAGGGAGGUAGGGGUCUGUGGAACUUCUGGUGGAGCGGUGAAAUGCGCAGAUAUCAGGAAGAACACCAACGGCGAGGGCAGCUCGCUGGGACGGUACUGACGCUGAGACGCGAAAGCGUGGGGAGCGAACAGG
RNAcentral lists this ribosomal RNA (253 nucleotides) under uncultured bacterium. Its description in RNAcentral is "partial 16S ribosomal RNA". It matches the Rfam family "Bacterial small subunit ribosomal RNA", at positions 524 to 776 of the family's 1533-position model. The record is from RNAcentral.